AUGUCAUUUUCAUUAAAAAAAAAAAACAACUCUUGCCCGCAAGGAUUCUUUAACUCUUUUUGCUUGUGUUCUUUUGAGGCGUUGAAACUGAGAAAGAAAGAGGUGAAGGAGCUGGGAAAUCAUGAGUCAGGUGUCGGUUCCUGUCCUUAUUCUUUGCAUUCUGUUCAUUUGGGGAUACAUUUGAAAUGGAGAAGUGGAAUAUCAGUUGGAGCCCAAGACCUAAAACAAACAAAACCCCUCUCGACUUCAGAUAAUUUCCUAUUUCUUGAUGAAUGAUGAACACUUCUUUUUCUUCAUCUAUAAAUGAGGAUACGUUUUUGAACAGGUUUGCUCUUUGGUAUUCUUUUUAAAAUAAUCUUGUAUAUCUUAAAAUGCUGACUGUCUUCUUUCUGUUUUCUUCUCUCCAGAUGGACUAAUUCAGGCAAUUUUCAUGUCAGUUUACCAUCAUCUCUAGUAAUUGUUCAUUUGAUUCAAACGCUUCCAGAUAAAGACUGUUUUUUGAAUGUGGAAUUUGCUUGAGAACAGAGGUCAGCUUUUGUUUUUACUUACACCACACUUUUCAGGUACUCUCCAUUUGAAAAACAAAUUUACCUGAAUUAGAUUGAUUGCACAACUGCUCUACGCUUCAGAUACUAUUUUAAAAAUCUAGGACUGGCAAAACCAAUGACAAUCAGUUACAGGAGUAGAAUGUUUAGUGGUAAUGUUGGAAAAUAACUGCAUGCUCUAGGAGUGUUAGCAUACUUUAAACUUGAUGCGAG
RNAcentral lists this long non-coding RNA (758 nucleotides) under Vulpes vulpes (red fox). RNAcentral's name for it is "lncRNA (ENSVVUG00000010821.1)". Lineage: Eukaryota; Metazoa; Chordata; Mammalia; Carnivora; Canidae. The record is from RNAcentral.